UCCAGAGUUUGAUCCUGGCUCAGGAUGAACGCUGGCGGCGUGCCUAAUACAUGCAAGUCGAGCGAACAGAUGAGAAGCUUGCUUCUCUGAUGUUAGCGGCGGACGGGUGAGUAACACGUGGGUAACCUACCUAUAAGACUGGGAUAACUCCGGGAAACCGGGGCUAAUACCGGAUAAUAUUUUGAACCGCAUGGUUCAAUAGUGAAAGACGGUUUCGGCUGUCACUUAUAGAUGGACCCGCGCCGUAUUAGCUAGUUGGUAAGGUAACGGCUUACCAAGGCGACGAUACGUAGCCGACCUGAGAGGGUGAUCGGCCACACUGGAACUGAGACACGGUCCAGACUCCUACGGGAGGCAGCAGUAGGGAAUCUUCCGCAAUGGGCGAAAGCCUGACGGAGCAACGCCGCGUGAGUGAUGAAGGUCUUCGGAUCGUAAAACUCUGUUGUUAGGGAAGAACAAAUUUGUUAGUAACUGAACAAGUCUUGACGGUACCUAACCAGAAAGCCACGGCUAACUACGUGCCAGCAGCCGCGGUAAUACGUAGGUGGCAAGCGUUAUCCGGAAUUAUUGGGCGUAAAGCGCGCGUAGGCGGUUUCUUAAGUCUGAUGUGAAAGCCCACGGCUCAACCGUGGA
This 633-nucleotide ribosomal RNA is filed under the name Mammaliicoccus sciuri. RNAcentral describes it as "bacterial SSU rRNA". It matches the Rfam family "Bacterial small subunit ribosomal RNA", at positions 1 to 619 of the family's 1533-position model. Lineage: Bacteria; Bacillati; Bacillota; Bacilli; Caryophanales; Staphylococcaceae. The record is from RNAcentral.